ACGCCAACAUGAUAUAAUUCUGAGGCAUCAUUCUCUAGAGGCCAAAUAAGAUGGGUACUUGCAUUAGAUGCAAAUGAGUAAGCGUACUCUCUCAUUAUUAUUAACGCUAGCCAACAUGAUAUAAUUCUGAGGUGGGCUUGGUAAUAGUGAGCCUCCCAUACCCUACUAAGAGUUUCAUCCAAAACUCUCGAAUUCCAAUGAGGGAUAUGGAAUUUGCCAAAAAUAGUGGGUGGUGCUAUUUGAUUUAAAGACCCGAAUCAAAUGGCUUAAAAUCAAUCAAUUUAUAUUCGUUAUGUAUUUUGUUUACCAAUAUAUUUGCAAACGCUAUCCAAAACUUGACAAAGAAAAGCCGAAUGCUUUAGUUUCCGGACUUGGUAACACAAUCCCAAAGAUUGUCUUAAAUGGAUUGUAUAUGUACCUAAGUAGUCUCAUCCUCAACAAUCUUCCUAUUGAUAAUGUAUCAUUGGAAAGAACAUGUUAGAUAAGUCUAUCAUGAAGAGGCCAACACAAACAACCAAUGCUUAAUCCUUUGUUAAAUGAACAAAGGAACUUACGAAGAUUAGCAUAAUGACAAGGACACUUUUAGUGUUAUUAAGUUCUUCACUUACAAAUCGUUGUAUGAAGAAAUAAUAGUUGCUUUGAACAACCCUUAGUCAAUGCAAACAC
This 666-nucleotide long non-coding RNA is filed under the name Malus domestica (apple). Its description in RNAcentral is "long non-coding RNA (MDOM_LNC016858)". The record is from RNAcentral. Lineage: Eukaryota; Viridiplantae; Streptophyta; Magnoliopsida; Rosales; Rosaceae.